UAUGAGUACGAUCUCUCUCGUACUAAUAAAUCGUUUUCGAUAAUAGAGCUUCCGAAUCGACGAUCCAUACCGUUAAACGUUAUUUAGAGUAUUUAAAACUUCUCGAAAUCAAAUUUUAUAAUUUUUGGACAUCAUUUACCUUACGAUCAAAAGGUGAGAAAAUUAAUAAUUUUUAUCGGCCGAUAUGAGAUACUUGCUAGUUUAAAAGUAUAAAAGAAUCAAAAUCGAUUGAAUUUUUGAUAAAAAAUUCUACUCACGUAAAGAUCAAACACUAUUUUUUUUUCUUUUUUUCUUUUUUUUUUUGCUGUUAGACUAAACAAAAUAGGAUUCCUUCAAGAACUUCUUCGGGAAAAAAAAAAGGAGAAAAGAGUUGGGGAAAAAAAAAAAAUCCGACGACUCUAUUGUGUGAAAUUUGUGCUUAAGAAAAUAAGAAAAACACUGAAAUACCAAACAAGAUUAAAAUUUAGGGAUAAUUGCCUAUAUACCCCUCAAAACUUCGAAAAUAUCUUCUUUUUUAUUUCUUUUCAAUAUACCUCUCAUAUGUUCCUCCGUUAUUUUAAAAUAACUUUACAAUUAUCAACCGUUAAGUUAAUUUAGGUUAAACGUGAGUUAAAUAUCUACCACAGUUAAAAAAAAUAAAAUAAUACUUUUGCCCUUAACUUAAGGGCAAAUAAGAAAUGUUGGUGAUUGUAGAAGGAUAUAUUUGAAAAGAUCAAAAAGCAAAAUACUUUUUGUGCCCGUAACUUAAAGGGCAAAUAAGAAAAGCCGGUGCUAAUAAAAGGCUAUAUUUGAAAGGACAAAAUAGUAAUUUUCAUAAAGAUAACAGAGUUCACUAACAGAUUUUAACUCUGAGGGUAUAUUUGAAAUAUGUUGGAACGUAAAAAAGGUAUUUUUAAUAUUAGCCCUCUAAGAGGGAUAAAUCAGAAAGUUGGAAACUUUUCAGAACUACCCAGACCCGACCAUUCUUUUUUAGGGUACGGAUAAAGUAUAUCAACUA
This 997-nucleotide long non-coding RNA is filed under the name Ananas comosus (pineapple). RNAcentral's name for it is "long non-coding RNA (ACOM_LNC016752)". The record is from RNAcentral. Lineage: Eukaryota; Viridiplantae; Streptophyta; Magnoliopsida; Poales; Bromeliaceae.